RNAcentral lists this long non-coding RNA (453 nucleotides) under Mustela putorius furo (domestic ferret). RNAcentral describes it as "lncRNA (ENSMPUG00000024939.1)". Lineage: Eukaryota; Metazoa; Chordata; Mammalia; Carnivora; Mustelidae. The record is from RNAcentral.
GACAGAGUGGAGCUUGGAGUGUUUUCUCUGAUGGAGAAACAGCUGUGAGAUAAUUGGUGACCAGAGAUCAGAGGAGCCACAGAUCUCCAGCAACUGGAGCUCUUGUGGGCAGGAUGGGACAUGACCUAGUGUUCAAAGGGGAUGAUUUGGUGUCACCAAUCUGAUGCGAUAGAAGGAGUUCCUGAAGAAUGUGGGGAAUUGGAAAGUAGAGGGAAAAUUGAGGAGACACAGUGGCUUCUGGAUUGGAACCAUAUAGUAGCUGAAAGCCUUUAAUAUAUACUUCAAAUCUGUGGAAAUGCGUGCAUAAUUACUUGGGUAAGUAUAAUGUUUUGUUCAUCUGACAUAUUUUACCCUACGAUAUAAUGAUUCUUUCCAAGUGCAUGGAAUUUUCACCAUAACACAAUUUGACAAAAACUUAUUUAAGGGGUGCCUGGGUGGCUCAGUGGGUUAAAG